GCGGCGGUGGCGGAACUGGCAGACGCGCAAGAUUAAGGAUCUUGUGGUCAUUGAGACCGUGGAGGUUCGAGUCCUCUUCGCCGUACUA
RNAcentral lists this transfer RNA (88 nucleotides) under Limosilactobacillus fermentum. RNAcentral describes it as "tRNA-Leu". It matches the Rfam family "tRNA". From Rfam's summary of the family: Transfer RNA (tRNA) molecules are approximately 80 nucleotides in length. Their secondary structure includes four short double-helical elements and three loops (D, anti-codon, and T loops). The record is from RNAcentral. Lineage: Bacteria; Bacillati; Bacillota; Bacilli; Lactobacillales; Lactobacillaceae.